AUUAAGGUUUCAGUCUGCGCGAAUUUCUCUACACCACCAGCCCAGGCAAAAACCACCAAAACAAAACCACACAUCAAAAAAUUUGCAGCGAAAUUAUAUUAAAAAUCCAUAACCUGCCCUCCGUUGGCCAAUAAUCAUUGGCUGAAAUUUUCGAAUCAAACCCAAAUUAUUUGUACCAUCACCACACCAUAUCAACUCCUCUAAAACACUAUACUCC
RNAcentral lists this long non-coding RNA (217 nucleotides) under Erythranthe guttata (spotted monkey flower). RNAcentral's name for it is "long non-coding RNA (EGUT_LNC002133)". Lineage: Eukaryota; Viridiplantae; Streptophyta; Magnoliopsida; Lamiales; Phrymaceae. The record is from RNAcentral.